AACGAACGCUGGCGGCAUGCCUAACACAUGCAAGUCGAACGAGGUCUUCGGGUCUAGUGGCGCACGGGUGCGUAACGCGUGGGAAUCUGCCCUUUGGUUCGGAAUAACAGUUGGAAACGACUGCUAAUACCGGAUGAUGACGAAAGUCCAAAGAUUUAUCGCCAGAGGAUGAGCCCGCGUAGGAUUAGCUAGUUGGUGUGGUAAAGGCGCACCAAGGCGACGAUCCUUAGCUGGUCUGAGAGGAUGAUCAGCCACACUGGGACUGAGACACGGCCCAGACUCCUACGGGAGGCAGCAGUGGGGAAUAUUGGACAAUGGGCGAAAGCCCGAUCCAGCAAUGCCGCGUGAGUGAUGAAGGCCUUAGGGUUGUAAAGCUCUUUUACCCGGGAUGAUGAUGACAGUACCGGGAGAAUAAGCUCCGGCUAACUCCGUGCCAGCCGCCGCCGUAA
Molecule: ribosomal RNA, 449 nt
Filed under: uncultured bacterium
Lineage: Bacteria
Description: partial 16S ribosomal RNA
Rfam family: Bacterial small subunit ribosomal RNA
Source: RNAcentral